RNAcentral lists this ribosomal RNA (215 nucleotides) under uncultured bacterium. Its description in RNAcentral is "partial 16S ribosomal RNA". It matches the Rfam family "Bacterial small subunit ribosomal RNA", at positions 122 to 334 of the family's 1533-position model. The record is from RNAcentral.
CGACCUACCUCGAUGUGGGGCAUAGCCGGCCUAACGGCCGGGUAAUUCCGCAUGUGAUCUCGGAGGGGCAUAUCUCUGAGAUGAAACCAGUAAUGGGCAUUGAGAGGGGCUUGCGGCCUAUCAGCUAGUUGGUGAGGGUAACGGCCCACCAAGGCAACGACGGGUAGCUGGUCUGAGAGGAUGGCCAGCCACAUUGGGACUGAGAUACGGCCCAG